CCUACGUGCGGCAGCAGUGGGGAAUAUUGCUCAAUGGGGGCAACCCUGAUGCAGCGACGCCGCGUGCGUGAAGAAGUCAUUCGUUAUGUAAAGCUCUAUCUGCAGGGAAGAAAAUGACGGUACCUGAGUCAGAAGCCCCGUCUCACUACGUGCCAGCAGCCGAGGUAAUACGUAGGGGGCAAGCGUUAUCCGGAUUUACUGGGUGUAAAGGGAGAGUAGACGGGAGUGCAAGUCUGGGGUGAAAGGCGGGGGUUCAACCCCCGGACUGCUUGGGCAACUGUACGGCUGGAGUGCAGGAGAGGGAGGUGGAAUGUCUGGUGUAGCGGUGAAAUGCGGAGAGAUUAGGAAGAACACCAGUGGCGAAGGCGGCUUACUGGACUGUAACUGACGUUGAGGCUCGAAAGCGUGGGGAGCAAACAGGAGUAGAUACCCCAGUAGUC
Molecule: ribosomal RNA, 440 nt
Filed under: uncultured bacterium
Lineage: Bacteria
Description: partial 16S ribosomal RNA
Rfam family: Bacterial small subunit ribosomal RNA
Source: RNAcentral